AACGAACGCUGGCGGCGUGCCUAACACAUGCAAGUCGAGCGCGAAAGUCCCUUCGGGGGCAAGUAGAGCGGCGGACGGGUGAGUAAUACAUGGAUAAUCUCCCUUUGAGCUCGGGAUAACAGUGCGAAAGCGCUGCUAAUACCGGAUAAGACCACGUUACUAAGGUGAUGCGGGAAAAGGUGGCUUUGUUUUCGGAUAAGGCUAUCACUUGAUGAUGAGUCCAUGGCCUAUCAGCUUGUUGGUGAGGUAAAGGCUCACCAAGGCUAUGACGGGUAGCUGGUCUGAGAGGACGACCAGCCACACUGGGACUGAGACACGGCCCAGACUCCUACGGGUGGCAG
This 341-nucleotide ribosomal RNA is filed under the name uncultured Pseudomonadota bacterium. RNAcentral's name for it is "bacterial SSU rRNA". It matches the Rfam family "Bacterial small subunit ribosomal RNA", at positions 29 to 351 of the family's 1533-position model. Lineage: Bacteria; Pseudomonadati; Pseudomonadota. The record is from RNAcentral.